UCCGAGUUGACCCCGGCAGUCUCCCAUGAGUCCCCGGCAUAACCCGCUGGCAACAUGGAACGAGGGUUGCGCUCGUUGCGGGACUUAACCCAACAUCUCACGACACGAGCUGACGACAGCCAUGCAGCACCUGGACCGGAAGUCCCCGAAGGGAAGACCCCAUCUCUGGAGCUGUCCUCCGUUGUCUAGCCCAGGUAAGGUUCUUCGCGUUGCGUCGAAUUAAACCACAUGCUCCACCGCUUGUGCGGGCCCCCGUCAAUUCCUUUGAGUUUCAGCCUUGCGGCCGUACUCCCCAGGCGGGGCACUUAAUGCGUUAGCGCCGGCACUCAGGGGGUCGCUCCCCCAAGCACCUAGUGCCCAUCGUUUACGGCGUGGACUAC
Molecule: unclassified non-coding RNA, 380 nt
Filed under: uncultured bacterium
Lineage: Bacteria
Description: contains 16S-23S intergenic spacer region
Source: RNAcentral